RNAcentral lists this long non-coding RNA (281 nucleotides) under Elaeis guineensis (African oil palm). Its description in RNAcentral is "long non-coding RNA (EGUI_LNC036326)". Lineage: Eukaryota; Viridiplantae; Streptophyta; Magnoliopsida; Arecales; Arecaceae. The record is from RNAcentral.
UUUUAUGGAUGAUGCUUCGAACAAUCGAUUCAUCAUUAGGAGGAAGAAGAAUGAAGGUCUGAGUGCCCUUUUUUUUCUUCUUUUUUGGUUGAUGUAUCAGCAUCGGUAUCAUCAUUAGGAGGGAGGAGCACAACCAUCAUCCUUUCAUUCCAAGUUUCCCACAGAGAGUAGAGCACGUCGGGAGGGAGGACCACUUGGGAAGGAGAAGAGAGGAGAGAGGAGGGAGGAAGGAGGAGGGAGGCAUUUGGAUUUUUUGAUGAGGAAUCAAUUGAGAGGGAGGA